GCCUAUUGACUUUAGAAGUUUCUUACAAAGAACAGCAGUUUGCUACAAAUUUGUUACUGAAAGGUUGUGCUUUUGUGUGUGGUCAUUCCUGAGUGUGUGUUUGGUCACAUAAACGCUGUCAAAUUUACACAUUUUUCCUUAUGGUUUCCAUCUUCAGAGCCAAGUUUAGACGAGCUUACAGGCAGCUGUUAUUAUCCACAACCCCCUAUUCUGCUAUCUCCUGAAAUAAAUACAAUUAAAUCACUCAAUGACAAUCAAGAAUCAGUUCCCUUUUUCCUUCUGACACUAUGACAAGAAUCCACACCAGAACCUUUCUGCACUGAGCAUGUAUUUACUGAAAAAUAAAUCUUUUUUAACACUAAUAAAUUCAGUAAGAAAAGCCCAUAGAUAAAUUCAGAAUACUUACUUUUAAAAGCUCUGGGCAACUUAAAUAGCUUUUUAAAAUCAUUAAAUAGCAUUCUCCUCUUAGUUCAGUGACUAUGCUUUUCUUAAAAACCUUUAUCUGGAAUUGUCAGGAAAAUGCCCCAUCUACAAAUUCCCAAACUAGAUAUUUCACAAUUUCAUUAUCAGGAUUCCCAUUGCUUAAUCCUUCUCAAUUCCUUUAAUCCAUUAGACUCUUUAUAACCUGUGAUCCCUAUUGAGACUGGAUCCGAUAUUGCUCUCAAUAUUCAAGACUCUAAAAUCACACUGACCCUCACAAAUAGCUAACAUUUUCUGAACACCUAUUAUGCACCAGGCCCCACUGAAUUUUGUAUGUUGUACUUCGCCCACUGCAGAUGCACCCCUUGCCUCCACCCAAACCAGGAAACUCACCAUCAGUGGCAUGUUGUGCCUAGCUGAUGGUUUUUCCCUUCAUAGUACGUGAAAUAAUGUCUUACAAUUAGCAGUGCUUUAGAUUAGAUGAAAUAUGGAAGGACAACUCAUUCCAUCUUACUAUCAACCCUGCGGCUGAUAUACUGUUAUGUCUCUUUUUCAGGUGAGGAAAAUGUUGGAGUUCCCGCUGUGGCAGUGGGUUAAAGGAUCCAGCAUUGCCACAGGUGUGGUGUAGGUCGCAGGUGUGGUGUAGAUUGCAGCUGUGGCUCGGAUUCAAUCCCUGGCCUGGGAACUUCCAUAUGUGGUGUACAACCUGACUCUAGAUCCUCACUUUUCAACCUAUUCACUAUCCCGAGGCCAGAAUCACUCUGCCAACAUUCCUCUCCAAUCCUCCUUGCAGGCCACUAAAUUACACUAAAAAAGCAACAAUUACUAGUCCACUCUACAGCCACAUCAAACCUCGCCCCGGGCUUUCCCCAGACUAUUCACUUGAACUCUCCAUGGAUUUCCUGGAACGCUGCUUAGAUGGGUCUUCCAAAAUGUCUCCAUUACCCUUAAGCUUCUAAUACCAUUUUCUGAUCCCUCCAGCUCACUAACCCCACGAAGGGACUGACUUGCCUCCUACACUACUGGGAAAACCAGAGCAAGCCAACGUGAGUGCUGCCAUGGGCUUGCCCCUCUCCCCUGGACCCCUUUCUGCCUCUUUCUCAAUCUUCCUCAACAGGACUAAUACUCAUCACCCCAACGCCAUCGUCUCUGAAUGCUCUCUGUACGUGAACUUCUUUCUUCCCACCUUCAAAUACGAUGUACCAUCUAUUUUGAAGCAGAAGUCACUCAAGGGCCUGGAAGACUCUAUUUCUCAUCUCUUAACAUACUCAGUCUCUUCACCUCAAUUGCAAUCACUCGAGUACCCUGACUUUUUCUCCUGCACCCGAAACUGGACAACGUUUCCCUCUGAACCCUCCUCGGGAAUCUCUCGUCCCUCCGCUUCCUGGUUUACCUGUUCCUGCUUUCUUCCAGUUCCUUCUUUAUAAAUGUCUAUUUCAAACAUGCCUCUCCCUCCUACUGAUUCCUAACUGAGGGCAUCAAUGCAAGGUUCAACCCACCGGCUGUUUCUGUUUAUGAUCCUCUCCAGCAUAUUCCACUACUGGGAAUCUACACAUAUACGUAAAGCUCUGAGCCUUUCCAUAGGCUUUAGCUUAGCCAUGUAUCCCGAACCUGCCUGCAGAAUACGUAGAUACCCCACUUUAAAUUCAGCCUGUCAACUCUAAUUUAUCAUUCACACAAUCUUUAUUCCUUCCACAACCAGUUCUUUCCUAUUCUUAAGUAAAGGCUGUAUUAAUUUUCCAACCACUCAGGUUGGAAACCUCAAAAAUAAUCUGACAGUCGUCUUGCCCAUUAUUCUAUAGUCAAACAACCACAAGGUGUUUAUUCAUUCACAGAAUCCAUCCCAUUUUGAAUCUUUUGAAUCUCUUGGCAGAUGACGGGUUAACCCAUCUGACCUAAACUGCAUGUUCAAACAUCUUCAGUGCCUUCCCAAUGCUUCCUCAUUCUGGCACACUGAGGUCCUCAAAUCCUCAUUCGACUUUACCUUCCUGAACACCUUUCCCACCUCAGCACAGGGGACCCCAUCAGGAAUACCCCUCUGCAGUCAGGCAGAGCUGCGUUCUAGCUUCCAAAUCUGUGCUGUCCACUAUGACAGUUCAUUGGUUAAAUAGGUGGCUAUUUCAAAAGAAAUGAAGGAAAGUUAAAAAUGCAGUUCUCAGUUGCACUAGGCACAUUUUAAACGCUCAAUAGCCCCUUGUAGCUAGUGGCUAUAGUACUGGACAUGCAGUUACAGAAUAUUCCCAUCACUGCAAAAAGUCCCACCAGACAGCACUGCUCCCCAGCUACUUUACCCAAAAGCCUCUUCAUUCUACUGAAUCAAACUCACAGGUCCUUCCACCCCAUGAGGGGCCUUGCCAGAGGUGUUUGUACAACUUACUCCUAUAUUACCUUGCAACAACUCUUGCCAUGUUGCAUUUACUUUUUCAUUUUGUGUGUCUUCUCACGAAUUACUGAGCCACUGUGAACCAAUACAGAUUCACUAAAUGAACCAUAUGCUCAUUACAAUACUUCAUCAAAAUGAUCAAAUAAGGAGAUAUUUAAUGCCCCUCUCCUCCAUUAAGACGUGUUUUCUUUCAGCCUAAACAAACAAAAGACCUUGCAUUUAGCUAACUAAAUAAUGACUUAAUUUAAUGCCUAAUUAUAAUUCUCGAAAGAUAAUUAGUUCCUUUUUUUCCUGUGGCAUUAAAAAAAAAAAAAAACUAUAAAGGUCUGAAAUACUUCCACUUUGCAUAAGCAAACCACAAAGAAACCACAAGAGAAAGACAAGGAGAGGAAAAUGAAUGAAUAGUUUGUGUAAAUAUACCCCCUCUGAGAUUGUAGGAAAAAAAUAUAGUACUGCUGCCCUAAAAUUAAGGGGAAACUACAAAUAAAGCAUUAAAAAAUUACGUGUAAAAAAAUAUUUUUGAAUCAAAAGCUAGAUCCCUCUAUCCUCCCUCUCAAACAUAACAUAGUGAAUAUUUAUUUUCAUUGUGUGUUCAAAAGCAUAUAGAUGCAUAAUUAACUGUUUUGUGUAUGCUGUGUUCCUUGAAAUUCAGACAUGUCCGCCUUAAGAAAAUUAGUUAAGAAAUCAAUCCACCACGCCAGAAGACCAGGCUCUAUAUAAGGCUCCUAUUUGAACACUACGAACUGAGCAGAGAUUUGGGAGAAUUGCCAAGUAAGAAUUCUCUCAAACUUCAGAGGGCUUGAUGCUUUAUCUUCAAGAGGGAGUCUUCCCCAAAGUUCUGAUUUUAGCUUAUUAAAACAAUCACAAAAAGAAGUUCCCAUUAUGGCUUAGUGGGUUAAGGACCCGAUGUUCUCUGUGAGGAUGUGGGUUUGAUCCCUACCCUUGCUCAGUGGGUUAAGGAUCCGGCAUUGGACAAGCUGCAGCAUAGGUCGCAGAUGCAGCUCAGAUCCAGUGUGGUCCUGGCUAGAGGCCCCAGUUGUAGCUCUGAUUUGAUCCCUAGCCCAGAAACUUCCAUAUGCCACAGGUGUGGCCGUAAAAAGGAAAAAAAUAAAAAAUAAAUCACUAAGAUGUUAAACUGCUCAACUACUGCAGAUCCCAGUAUCUGCAUAAAAAUAAGAUGCAGUCACUGGAGGUGAAUUGUUUAUGAAAGUUUUGUCUUUUCCUCUCUGAAAGAUAGCUUUCCUGAUGCAAAUUAAUGCUCUAUGGGGCCCACUCAUGUCUGCAAGUCUGCCAGCAAUAGCUGUAAAUGUUCCUUUUUUGUCUGACCAGUAGUAUCUCUAAAACUGACACCAACUUAAAAAUGAACACCAAGGUGAAGAUUUUGACUUUGAUUUAAGUACAUUCAUAUGGCUUCAUUUAGCUGUUUGUUUGUUUGUUUGUUUGUUUUAAGGUAGUAACUCCAGAGGAAAUACUAAAAAUACUUCAGGUAGGAGUUCCUAUUGUGACACAGCAGAAAUGAAUCCGACUAGUAGCCAUGAGUACACAGGUUUGAUCCCUGGCCUCACUCAGUGGACUAAGGAUCUGGUGCUGCCGUGAGCUAUAGUGUAGGUCACAGACUUGGCUCAGAUCUAGCGUUGCUGUGGCUGUGGUGUAGGCCGGUAGCUGUAACUCCAAUUAGACCCCUCGCCUGGAAACCACUAUAUGCUGCAGGUGCAGCCCUAAAAAGCCAAAAAAAAAAAAAAAAAAAAAAAA
This 4555-nucleotide long non-coding RNA is filed under the name Sus scrofa (pig). RNAcentral's name for it is "lncRNA (ENSSSCG00000059341.1)". Lineage: Eukaryota; Metazoa; Chordata; Mammalia; Artiodactyla; Suidae. The record is from RNAcentral.